GGGUUGUGAGGUUAAGCGACUAAGCGUACACGGUGGAUGCCCUGGCAGUCAGAGGCGAUGAAGGGCGUGCUAAUCUGCGAUAAGCGCCGGUAAGGUGAUAUGAACCGUUAUAACCGGCGAUACCCGAAUGGGGAAACCCAGUGUGAUUCGUCACACUAUCAUUAACUGAAUCCAUAGGUUAAUGAGGCGAACCGGGGGAACUGAAACAUCUAAGUACCCCGAGGAAAAGAAAUCAACCGAGAUUCCCCCAGUAGCGGCGAGCGAACGGGGAGGAGCCCAGAGCCUGAAUCAGCAUGUGUGUUAGUGGAAGCGUCUGGAAAGGCGCGCGAUACAGGGUGACAGCCCCGUACACAAAAGCGCAUGUGCUGUGAGCUCGAUGAGUAGGGCGGGACACGUGGUAUCCUGUCUGAAUAUGGGGGGACCAUCCUCCAAGGCUAAAUACUCCUGACUGACCGAUAGUGAACCAGUACCGUGAGGGAAAGGCGAAAAGAACCCCGGCGAGGGGAGUGAAAAAGAACCUGAAACCGUGUACGUACAAGCAGUGGGAGCACCCUUUUGGGUGUGACUGCGUACCUUUUGUAUAAUGGGUCAGCGACUUAUAUUCUGUAGCAAGGUUAACCGAAUAGGGGAGCCGGAGGGAAACCGAGUCUUAAUUGGGCGUUAAGUUGCAGGGUAUAGACCCGAAACCCGGUGAUCUAGCCAUGGGCAGGUUGAAGGUUGGGUAACACUAACUGGAGGACCGAACCGACUAAUGUUGAAAAAUUAGCGGAUGACCUGUGGCUGGGGGUGAAAGGCCAAUCAAACCGGGAGAUAGCUGGUUCUCCCCGAAAGCUAUUUAGGUAGCGCCUCGUGAAUUCAUCUCCGGGGGUAGAGCACUGUUUCGGCUAGGGGGCCAUCCCGGCUUACCAACCCGAUGCAAACUGCGAAUACCGGAGAAUGUUAUCACGGGAGACACACGGCGGGUGCUAACGUCCGUCGUGAAGAGGGAAACAACCCAGACCGCCAGCUAAGGUCCCAAAGUCAUGGUUAAGUGGGAAACGAUGUGGGAAGGCACAGACAGCCAGGAUGUUGGCUUAGAAGCAGCCAUCAUUUAAAGAAAGCGUAAUAGCUCACUGGUCGAGUCGGCCUGCGCGGAAGAUGUAACGGGGCUAAACCAUGCACCGAAGCUGCGGCAGCGACGUUUAUGCGUUGUUGGGUAGGGGAGCGUUCUGUAAGCCUGCGAAGGUGGCCUGUGAGGGUUGCUGGAGGUAUCAGAAGUGCGAAUGCUGACAUAAGUAACGAUAAAGCGGGUGAAAAGCCCGCUCGCCGGAAGACCAAGGGUUCCUGUCCAACGUUAAUCGGGGCAGGGUGAGUCGACCCCUAAGGCGAGGCCGAAAGGCGUAGUCGAUGGGAAACGGGUUAAUAUUCCCGUACUUGGUGUUACUGCGAAGGGGGGACGGAGAAGGCUAUGUUGGCCGGGCGACGGUUGUCCCGGUUUAAGCGUGUAGGCUGGUUUUCCAGGCAAAUCCGGAAAAUCAAGGCUGAGGCGUGACGACGAGGCACUACGGUGCUGAAGCAACAAAUGCCCUGCUUCCAGGAAAAGCCUCUAAGCAUCAGGUAACAUCAAAUCGUACCCCAAACCGACACAGGUGGUCAGGUAGAGAAUACCAAGGCGCUUGAGAGAACUCGGGUGAAGGAACUAGGCAAAAUGGUGCCGUAACUUCGGGAGAAGGCACGCUGACACGUAGGUGAAGUGAUUUACUCAUGGAGCUGAAGUCAGUCGAAGAUACCAGCUGGCUGCAACUGUUUAUUAAAAACACAGCACUGUGCAAACACGAAAGUGGACGUAUACGGUGUGACGCCUGCCCGGUGCCGGAAGGUUAAUUGAUGGGGUCAGCGCAAGCGAAGCUCCUGAUCGAAGCCCCGGUAAACGGCGGCCGUAACUAUAACGGUCCUAAGGUAGCGAAAUUCCUUGUCGGGUAAGUUCCGACCUGCACGAAUGGCGUAAUGAUGGCCAGGCUGUCUCCACCCGAGACUCAGUGAAAUUGAACUCGCUGUGAAGAUGCAGUGUACCCGCGGCAAGACGGAAAGACCCCGUGAACCUUUACUAUAGCUUGACACUGAACAUUGAGCCUUGAUGUGUAGGAUAGGUGGGAGGCUUUGAAGCGUGGACGCCAGUCUGCGUGGAGCCGACCUUGAAAUACCACCCUUUAAUGUUUGAUGUUCUAACGUGGACCCGUAAUCCGGGUUGCGGACAGUGUCUGGUGGGUAGUUUGACUGGGGCGGUCUCCUCCUAAAGAGUAACGGAGGAGCACGAAGGUUGGCUAAUCCUGGUCGGACAUCAGGAGGUUAGUGCAAUGGCAUAAGCCAGCUUGACUGCGAGCGUGACGGCGCGAGCAGGUGCGAAAGCAGGUCAUAGUGAUCCGGUGGUUCUGAAUGGAAGGGCCAUCGCUCAACGGAUAAAAGGUACUCCGGGGAUAACAGGCUGAUACCGCCCAAGAGUUCAUAUCGACGGCGGUGUUUGGCACCUCGAUGUCGGCUCAUCACAUCCUGGGGCUGAAGUAGGUCCCAAGGGUAUGGCUGUUCGCCAUUUAAAGUGGUACGCGAGCUGGGUUUAGAACGUCGUGAGACAGUUCGGUCCCUAUCUGCCGUGGGCGCUGGAGAACUGAGGGGGGCUGCUCCUAGUACGAGAGGACCGGAGUGGACGCAUCACUGGUGUUCGGGUUGUCAUGCCAAUGGCACUGCCCGGUAGCUAAAUGCGGAAGAGAUAAGUGCUGAAAGCAUCUAAGCACGAAACUUGCCCCGAGAUGAGUUCUCCCUGAGACUUAAAGUCUCCUGAAGGAACGUUGAAGACGACGACGUUGAUAGGCCGGGUGUGUAAGCGCAGCGAUGCGUUGAGCUAACCGGUACUAAUGAACCGUGAGGCUUAACCUUACAACGCCGAAG
This 2925-nucleotide ribosomal RNA is filed under the name Salmonella enterica subsp. enterica serovar Bareilly str. CFSAN000189. RNAcentral's name for it is "23S ribosomal RNA". It matches the Rfam family "Bacterial large subunit ribosomal RNA". The record is from RNAcentral. Lineage: Bacteria; Pseudomonadati; Pseudomonadota; Gammaproteobacteria; Enterobacterales; Enterobacteriaceae. RNAcentral also lists the same sequence under 2 other names.